AUGGGCAAACCACUUCCGGUUUCCUGUGAGGAGGCAUUGCUCGGAUUAGCAUUCGUACCCUUCUGUCAUCUUGGGGUGCAUAAGGACCUGCAAGGCGGCCUUCUGCCUCCCCUUGUUUUAUCUAUGAGGAGUAUGAGUUCCCAGAUGAAAUUGUAAAAGGGAUCUUCAAGAACCCUGGUGAGCCACUGGUGCACCUCCCCAACCAGCUUGUGAAGCAGGUGGAGCCCCAAUCACCUUCCAGGGCCUUGGUGACCACUCCCCGCACUCCUAGCAUGCCUAUGGGCACUGGGUUGAACCCCAGACAUCUUCAGGAACCCCGGUGAGCCUCCC
This 330-nucleotide long non-coding RNA is filed under the name Chinchilla lanigera (long-tailed chinchilla). RNAcentral describes it as "lncRNA (ENSCLAG00000023183.1)". Lineage: Eukaryota; Metazoa; Chordata; Mammalia; Rodentia; Chinchillidae. The record is from RNAcentral.